RNAcentral lists this ribosomal RNA (489 nucleotides) under uncultured bacterium. RNAcentral describes it as "bacterial SSU rRNA". It matches the Rfam family "Bacterial small subunit ribosomal RNA", at positions 30 to 512 of the family's 1533-position model. The record is from RNAcentral.
AUUGAACGCUGGCGGCAUGCCUUACACAUGCAAGUCGAACGGUAACAGGUCUUCGGAUGCUGACGAGUGGCGAACGGGUGAGUAAUAUAUCGGAACGUGCCCAGUCGUGGGGGAUAACGCAGCGAAAGCUGUGCUAAUACCGCAUACGAUCUAUGGAUGAGAGCGGGGGAUCGCAAGACCUCGCGCGAUUGGAGCGGCCGAUAUCAGAUUAGGUAGUUGGUGGGGUAAAGGCCCACCAAGCCAACGAUCUGUAGCUGGUCUGAGAGGACGACCAGCCACACUGGAACUGAGACACGGUCCAGACUCCUACGGGAGGCAGCAGUGGGGAAUUUUGGACAAUGGGCGCAAGCCUGAUCCAGCAAUGCCGCGUGCAGGAUGAAGGCCUUCGGGUUGUAAACUAGCUUUUGUACGGAACGAAAAGGACUCUGGUUAAUACCUGGGGCUCAUGACGGUACCGUAAGAAUAAGCACCGGCUAACUAACUGCCAGA